RNAcentral lists this ribosomal RNA (686 nucleotides) under bacterium 32-L049642-122-014-H04. Its description in RNAcentral is "bacterial SSU rRNA". It matches the Rfam family "Bacterial small subunit ribosomal RNA", at positions 57 to 761 of the family's 1533-position model. The record is from RNAcentral.
GCAGUCGAACGAUGAACCACUUCGGUGGGGAUUAGUGGCGAACGGGUGAGUAACACGUGGGCAAUCUGCCCUUCACUCUGGGACAAGCCCUGGAAACGGGGUCUAAUACCGGAUACCACUCGCACGGGCAUCUGUGCGGGUUGAAAGCUCCGGCGGUGAAGGAUGAGCCCGCGGCCUAUCAGCUUGUUGGUGAGGUAAUGGCUCACCAAGGCGACGACGGGUAGCCGGCCUGAGAGGGCGACCGGCCACACUGGGACUGAGACACGGCCCAGACUCCUACGGGAGGCAGCAGUGGGGAAUAUUGCACAAUGGGCGAAAGCCUGAUGCAGCGACGCCGCGUGAGGGAUGACGGCCUUCGGGUUGUAAACCUCUUUCAGCAGGGAAGAAGCGAAAGUGACGGUACCUGCAGAAGAAGCGCCGGCUAACUACGUGCCAGCAGCCGCGGUAAUACGUAGGGCGCAAGCGUUGUCCGGAAUUAUUGGGCGUAAAGAGCUCGUAGGCGGCUUGUCACGUCGGGUGUGAAAGCCCGGGGCUUAACCCCGGGUCUGCAUUCGAUACGGGCUAGCUAGAGUGUGGUAGGGGAGAUCGGAAUUCCUGGUGUAGCGGUGAAAUGCGCAGAUAUCAGGAGGAACACCGGUGGCGAAGGCGGAUCUCUGGGCCAUUACUGACGCUGAGGAGCGAAAGCG